Molecule: ribosomal RNA, 465 nt
Filed under: Vreelandella stevensii
Lineage: Bacteria; Pseudomonadati; Pseudomonadota; Gammaproteobacteria; Oceanospirillales; Halomonadaceae
Description: partial 16S ribosomal RNA
Rfam family: Bacterial small subunit ribosomal RNA
Source: RNAcentral
CCUACGGGGGGCUGCAGUGGGGAAUAUUGGACAAUGGGGGCAACCCUGAUCCAGCCAUGCCGCGUGUGUGAAGAAGGCCCUCGGGUUGUAAAGCACUUUCAGUGAGGAAGAACGCCUGGUGGUUAAUACCCAUCAGGAAAGACAUCACUCACAGAAGAAGCACCGGCUAACUCCGUGCCAGCAGCCGCGGUAAUAUGGAGGGUGCGAGCGUUAAUCGGAAUUACUGGGCGUAAAGCGCGCGUAGGUGGCUUGAUAAGCCGGUUGUGAAAGCCCCGGGCUCAACCUGGGAACGGCAUCCGGAACUGUCAAGCUAGAGUGCAGGAGAGGAAGGUAGAAUUCCCGGUGUAGCGGUGAAAUGCGUAGAGAUCGGGAGGAAUACCAGUGGCGAAGGCGGCCUUCUGGACUGACACUGACACUGAGGUGCGAAAGCGUGGGUAGCAAACAGGAUUAGAUACCCCGGUAGUC